AAGAAGAACUUUGGAGGACGUUGGAAAAUUGUUUCCUGGGACAGCAGGCAACACAGACAAAGACAGCGCGGAAAGUAGAGGUUCCAGUAUAAAAAAAGCUUACAAAAACGCAACGGCUCUAUCUAUCCAUCUGGCACAAUUCCUUAUGCGUUCUGUUUCAGAAUUUGAAAAAAUCGCAAAAACAGAGUCCAAAAAUCUCACACACAGAACAUAUCCAAACACCCAAGAUAAAAAUGAAAGUGGGAAAAGAGAAGCAAGCCCAAUUACGUCCUUCCAACUGCAACUGCUUUACCAAAUAUUAAACCCUUCAAAUCUUUCUCAUCAAAAAUUCUUUUGUACGUUCCGCUUUCCCCCGCCGUUUUACUUGUUUUCAGUUGCCGUUUUGAUUAGGGUGGCGGAAAUGAGCGCUGAGGGUGAGGCUGCUCAACGUCAUGAUGCUGCCUUGCCACAAUAACCUUGCUGUAACCAAUGAGCGGUCUCCGCGCGUCGCUAGAAGUCGAUGUCGUCGUUUGCGUCAGAGCCGUACGGUAACCGCAGUGGUUGCGGUUGCCGCGUUGCUUAUUUCCACCACCGCCUGGCUCUCUCUUGUUUUCUCCGGCACCACCACACGUUGCUGGCGUCGUUUCAAGGACUGGGAAGGCAGUCCCCUUUCCCUCUCCCGGUCUCUCCCCUGGUCUUCUUCUCUCAUUAGCCGAUCAAUCCCGGCACCUCCUCGGUUCCAAUCGCCACUAGCCUCUCCUCGAAACCGCAGCCUCUCGGAGCGUGCGAAUGAGAAACAAGAGCUUUUACUAAACGACAUCGUGUUUGGAAUAGCAGGGUCCUUGCAUCUAUGGAAACAACGGAAAGAGUUACUUAGGCUUUGGUGGCGGCCGUUGGAAAUGCGAGGUCACGUCUGGUUAGAAGAGCAGGUCCCACCUGAAGAAGCCGACGAUUCGCUUCCACCACUCAUGGUCUCUGAAGACAUCUCACGUUUCCGUUACACUAACCCAACAGGCCACCCUUCGGGUCUACGAAUCUCCCGAAUUUUAACGGAAUCCUUCCGCCUCCGUCUCCCCGACGUCCGCUGGUUCGUUUUAGGAGACGACGACACGGUUUUCAACGUAGACAAUCUGGUGGCAGUUUUAAGCAAAUACGAUCCUUCCGAGAUGAUGUACAUCGGAACUCCUUCGGAAAGCCACUCUGCCAACGCGUAUUUCAGUCACUCCAUGGCGUUUGGCGGUGGCGGCAUUGCCAUCAGUUAUCCUCUGGCGGAGGCUCUCUCCAACUUCCACGACGAUUGCAUCGAGAGGUACCCGAAGCUAUAUGGAAGCGAUGAUCGUCUACACGCCUGCAUUACUGAACUCGGAGUUCCUCUCACCAGAGAGCAUGGUUUUCACCAGUGGGAUAUUAGGGGAAAUGCGUAUGGUCUUUUAUCCUCUCAUCCUAUUGCACCACUCGUUUCAAUCCACCAUGUUGAAUAUGUGGAUCCAUUUUAUCCUGGGUUAACUUCAUUAGACAGUUUAAAACUUUUUGCAAAAGCUAUGAGAAUUGAACCCAGGAGCUUUCUACAACGAUCAAUCUGUUAUGAUCGUGUUCGGCGUCUAACUUUUUCAGUUUCAAUCGGUUAUGUUGUUCAAGUGUUCCCAAAUAUUGUGCUGCCUCGUGAGCUAGAACGUUCGGAGCAAACCUACAUUGCCUGGAAUAAAUUAAGACAUCGCCAUGAAUUUGAUCACGACACCAGGGAUUCUUACAAAUCUGUUUGUAAAAAACCUGUUAUGUUUUUCCUCAAAGAUGUGAUGAAAGAUGGUAAUGCUACAUCAGGGUCAUAUGCUCGGGCAAAAUCCAAAGAUGAUUUGAAAAGAAAGGUUUUCUGCUUUCCAAGUUCCCCUCCGUUGCAAUACGUGCAGAAAAUCCAAGUUUUAGGGUAUCCUCUUGGAAAGAAUUGGCAUCUGGUGCCUCGUCGGUUAUGUUGCAAGGUAAACAAUACCGGUGAUGAACUCCUUAGAUUAACUGUUGGGCAAUGUGAAAAGGGAGCUCUCAGUUCUUUUACUGAUUCUCUGUGAAUGAUGGAGGGAUGCUGCUGAGUAUAUAUAUAGGCUUCAAGAUGGACCUCAAACUAUGUUGUGCUUUAUGCUCUUUAGCCACACGGAAAUUUUUUGGGUCUGCCUUGAGAUUGACAUUGGACAUUUUUCUCAUAAUCUUACUUCCCUAUAUCAGAUAUUGGAGUGCUUUGUUGUACUCAGUUGAUAGAGUUAAAGAUUAGACCAACUUCAGCUCAGUCAUUCCAUUCUUUGCCUUCAGUUUUGUUCAGAAGUGGCAUGUUGGCCGUUGAAUUUAUUUUGGAAGGAGGAGAGGGGUUGGGGGGGUGGUACGGGUGCUGAUGCAUGUGAACGAGGAUGGUUAACAGUAUAUUACGGGAAAGGAUGACUUGGACUCACAGGAAUCUGCUGCUUGUCUUUCAGUCUUUGUCAAUGCAUAUAGAAAGGGGCAGAAAUAUUGGAGAUGAUAAAAUUUUAGUUAUUAUAAGAAAGACAAAUAUAGAUCUGAUAUCUCAAUCCUUCUCAUUCUGCUGACAGAGCUUUUAAUGUCAUUUCUCAAAUCGUAGAUCUAACCAACACUUGAAAUAUUCUUUUCUUAUUUUACUUAAUGCGACAGGGACGCAGCCAUGUAAGAUAAUCCUUUGCUUCAUUAAUACGGUAUUGGUAAUUUUCAACAUCAUAAUUUAUGAACUUUGGGGGUACUGCAGUUGCAACUACUAUUUGCAAAGAUUAAAUCCCCUUCAUAAUGCUCAAUUUUCCCUCUACUUGUUUCUACUUUUUAGCUGUCCUUAUCUUCUUCCUGAUAUUGCUUCCCCUGAUUUAUUGUGGAGUAUUAGAUCCUGCAGAGAGCAUUAGAUCCCCAUUCCACUUUCUAAUAAGCCCGUAAAUGUUGACACGAUUUCCUUGCCAAGGCCGGCAAUUCUUUUGACGUUUUCCAAAGUUAGGGCGAAAUGGAAGUCAAUUCGAAUUUGACCAAGGAAUGGGUAAUCCACGCCUCCUAAAGACGAGUCGAAUCUUAAAGCAAAAACCAAUGACUGCUAAAGACGAGAGAGUCUUCAACCCGCUUUUUAAGAACUGUCCAUUUAUUUUUUUUAAAAAAUAUAAUUGAUUGAGGUAAAGACGUUUUUCAGCUGUUAUCCCAUUUAUGCCUUCUGUUUUAUUCGCACCUUCCAAUUUGACAACAAAUCUAUCA
Theobroma cacao (cacao) is the source of this 3210-nucleotide RNA transcript. It is a transcript of the gene named beta-1,3-n-acetylglucosaminyltransferase radical fringe protein, putative (DUF604), with no coding region annotated. Lineage: Eukaryota; Viridiplantae; Streptophyta; Magnoliopsida; Malvales; Malvaceae. The record is from RefSeq and is a predicted model, not a curated record.